CGGACGGGUGAGUAAUGUAUGGGGAUCUGCCUGAUGGCGGGGGGUAACUACUGGAAACGGUAGCUAAUACCGCAUAAUGUCUGCGGACCAAAGCGGGGGACCUCCGGGCCUCGCGCCAUCAGAUGAACCCAUAUGGGAUUAGCUUGUAGGUAAGGUAACGGCUUACCUAGGCGACGAUCCCUAGCUGGUCUGAGAGGAUGAUCAGCCACACUGGGACUGAGACACGGCCCAG
Molecule: ribosomal RNA, 232 nt
Filed under: uncultured bacterium
Lineage: Bacteria
Description: partial 16S ribosomal RNA
Rfam family: Bacterial small subunit ribosomal RNA
Source: RNAcentral